This 26-nucleotide transfer RNA is filed under the name Limaformosa capensis (Cape file snake). RNAcentral's name for it is "partial tRNA-Leu". RNAcentral also lists the same sequence under 5 other names. Lineage: Eukaryota; Metazoa; Chordata; Lepidosauria; Squamata; Lamprophiidae. The record is from RNAcentral.
UCUACCAAAGGAUAGUAGUAUUCCAC